This 94-nucleotide small nucleolar RNA is filed under the name Oryza longistaminata (longstamen rice). RNAcentral describes it as "snoRNA snoZ256". It matches the Rfam family "Small nucleolar RNA Z256". From Rfam's summary of the family: Z256 is a member of the C/D class of snoRNA which contain the C (UGAUGA) and D (CUGA) box motifs. Most of the members of the box C/D family function in directing site-specific 2'-O-methylation of substrate RNAs. Lineage: Eukaryota; Viridiplantae; Streptophyta; Magnoliopsida; Poales; Poaceae. The record is from RNAcentral.
ACCUGCUAGUCAUGCUGACCACAGCCACCCAGGCAUGGCUGACGGGGCUGCCAAGGUACACCAUCAAUAGUUGGUCCGAAUUGAAGGGGUAGUU